UUAAUAGUUUGUUUACACAGUCUUCAUUAAUGCUCUAGCUGUUUCAGUUUGUUAAUAUUCACCCCAGUAAGUCACUAUUUCUUGAUUGAUAAACGACUGAACUAAUUCAGUAUAUUUUAUUCAGUCAGAGUACCAGUUUGGGGCCCAGUUCCCCAGUAAGCAGUACAGCAAUCUGUAUGUGAGAGAGAGAGAAAACAAGGGACAAAGGUUGAUGGAGAAGCUCAGGAAGAGACAAGACAGUCACACUGGAAAACAUCUACAAAGCUAAGCAAAAAUGGAGAAUAUUACUGAAGAGUCAGCUCUGCACCAGGAUGAUUUAUGCUACUGUAUGAUGUGAGAAAUCCUGCAUCUUUGGCUGUAUGUGGGGCCUACUCCAACCGAUAAGGUACAAUGGGUUUGAAUGAUCUUCAGGACCUCUGGACUGAACACAGCAGAGACCCAACAUGUCUGAAGUUUCUGAGUCCCACUGUAAGACUCACAGGACUGUUCCUCUUCCCCAGACACACUGGAGCUCACAUGCAGGUUCAUGAGGCGUCAUCUGCACAGGUGAGACCCUGUGUAAACCAGCAAGGACUUUCCUUCUGUUCCUUGCACUUUCAUUUCCAGGGGAAAUAAAGCCAGGCCCACACAGGCUGCAAGAGAAAGUGGCCUCCAACAUUGUCUCUCCUUGAUUCCUGAUCUGGAUAAUCAGAACCCUGAGACACACCAAAGCAUACAGGCAGCCUGGAGAAAAAAAAAAAAAAAUGUGGUAAGUGGUUAUCUGAAUUUGGAUUUUGAGCUUACAUUUGCUUUCCGAUAAGGACUCCUUGAGAGGCUCUAACUAACCAGUACCUUUAUAUAGUGGUAUGCAACUCUUUGUUUUUCUUUAU
Long non-coding RNA from Cygnus olor (mute swan), 869 nucleotides. RefSeq lists it as uncharacterized. The record is from RefSeq and is a predicted model, not a curated record. NCBI's taxonomy places the organism in Eukaryota, Metazoa, Chordata, Aves, Anseriformes, Anatidae. The transcript has 6 exons.